CAGUAGCCACGGGAAUACGAAGGGGGCUAGCGUUGCUCGGAAUGACUGGGCGUAAAGGGCGCGUAGGCGGCGAUCAAAGUCAGGCGUGAAAUUCCUGGGCUCAACCUGGGGGCUGCGCUUGAUACUGGGUUGCUUGAGUGGGGAAGAGGGUCGUGGAAUUCCCAGUGUAGAGGUGAAAUUCGUAGAUAUUGGGAAGAACACCGGUGGCGAAGGCGGCGACCUGGUCCUUUACUGACGCUGAGGCGCGAAAGCGUGGGGAGCAAACAGGAUUAGAUACCCCUGUAGUCCCUGUCUCUUAUAC
Molecule: ribosomal RNA, 301 nt
Filed under: uncultured bacterium
Lineage: Bacteria
Description: partial 16S ribosomal RNA
Rfam family: Bacterial small subunit ribosomal RNA
Source: RNAcentral